AUUGAACGCUGGCGGCAGGCUUAACACAUGCAAGUCGAGCGGAGUGAUGGUGCUUGCACUAUCACUUAGCGGCGGACGGGUGAGUAAUGCUUAGGAAUCUGCCUAUUAGUGGGGGACAACAUCUCGAAAGGGAUGCUAAUACCGCAUACGUCCUACGGGAGAAAGCAGGGGAUCACUUGUGACCUUGCGCUAAUAGAUGAGCCUAAGUCGGAUUAGCUAGUUGGUGGGGUAAAGGCCUACCAAGGCGACGAUCUGUAGCGGGCCUGAGAGGAUGAUCCGCCACACUGGGACUGAGACACGGCCCAGACUCCUACGGGAGGCAGCAGUGGGGAAUAUUGGACAAUGGGGGGAACCCUUAUCCAGCCAUGCCGCGUGUGUGAAGAAGGCCUUAUGGUUGUAAAGCACUUUAAGCGAGGAGGAGGCUCUUUUGGUUAAUACCCAAGAUGAGUGGACGUUACUCGCAGAAUAAGCACCGGCUAACUCUGUGCCAGCCGCCGCAGUAA
This 503-nucleotide ribosomal RNA is filed under the name uncultured bacterium. Its description in RNAcentral is "partial 16S ribosomal RNA". It matches the Rfam family "Bacterial small subunit ribosomal RNA", at positions 30 to 523 of the family's 1533-position model. The record is from RNAcentral.